CCGGAAAUGGCGCACCGGCGGCCUCCCACGGCCUGCCCUGAGCCCCCGCGCCGGGAGGUGCAACCCCUCGCCACAAGUCUCGAUGGUCUUUGGAAGCGGCAGCAAUGAGAGAAUAAAGCCAAGCAAAAUAAAACGGAAUAAAGCCAAAUCAAAACAAACCAGUGCAAGUGACACAGGACUUCAAAACAACAGAAAAUCAACAAUUAUUAUCAUAAUGCCUCUUGUGGUCUUCAAAAUAGCUGCAGAUACCUUCAGACAUAGUAAAAAUCAAACAAAACAGAAGAGAAUAGAACAAAUGAAAACAAAACACUGAACACAAUACAAGACUUCAAAACAAGAUAAUGACUUGAAGCUGUGUGCCUCCUGAGACGAGAAUGCGUGGUACCCACUGAGGGCCUUUAGAUACAGCCGUGUGGGGUCUCUCUGACUGCUGAUCACAACUGUGACCCCCUUUAGCUGGAGUUGCCAGAACGGUCAUUGCCCCCUGUCCUCCCAUGGCGGUCAGGAGUACAUCUUCAGAGCUGGGAGUAUUACAGACAGCUAAGUUAAAUAGAAAUAUAUCAGGCACUCAGGAGCCAGUGCAGAAGAUGGGAAUACAUUACAACUGUGGGUGGAGGCACAUUCAUAGAAGGCCAGACCUCAAGUCAAAAGACAGAAUGAGUAUACCUACAUAUUUCCCGAGAAAUGAUUGAUAUUCUAAAUUGGCAUCAGUCACCUUGGGUGGGGACCAAAACCUCCUUAAUCCUACCUCCAAAAAAGUCCUUGUUCAGUCUACGCACACUUGCUAUGUGAUUUGCUGACCACUGGAUCAAUAUUAUCCAAGGGACCAUACUUGCAAUAUUAUUAGUUGAUCAUAGUUUUGUCCUGUCUUAUACCUGCCUUGUGAUUUAACUCCACAAAACUUCGCCUGAGAAGUAGGCUCAUGGGUAAACCACUUUCCGGAGCAUACUUCUGUCUCUCUUAGUCAGAAGCUUUCUUUCCUCUAACAAACAUUUCCUGCUGUUAACCUCCAUUGUUCCUUAGAAUUCAUUCUUUGAUUUUGGAGAACAUGAACUCAGCAUUCCAAACAUCUAGCAGGUUGGGAGUUAUAAUAUCUCCCUUGUAUUAUUUGGAUUAUUAUUAUUGCAGGUCCUGUAUCAUCCUUAUAUCAAUAGAUAUACAAUGGAAUUCUAUACAGCUAUAAAGAAGGAUAAAUUUGAGUUACUUUUAGAAAAGUGGAUCCAGGACUGGAGAUUUAGCUCAGUGGCAUAAGUGCCUGCCUGCCAAGAGUGAGGUUGUGAGUUUGAUCCCUGGUACAAAAAAAAGUGGAUGCACCUUGAAACCAUAAUCCUAUGUGAAGUAAAAUGGACCCCAACUUAAAUAUCACAUGGUUUCUCUUAUAUGAGAAACCCAAAGUAUAAGUAAUUUAAAGAGCAAACUAAGAGACAGACAAUAGGGAAUAGGGAGGUAGAUUUUUUACAGAUGGGAAGUGAACCUACGGGAGAGAAAAAAGAAGGAGGGGAGGGAAAAGGGAAGCACUUUUUAAAGAUUAAGAGGCAAUAUUUAU
This is a long non-coding RNA of Cavia porcellus (domestic guinea pig), 1546 nucleotides long. RefSeq lists it as uncharacterized. NCBI's taxonomy places the organism in Eukaryota, Metazoa, Chordata, Mammalia, Rodentia, Caviidae. The transcript is spliced from 3 exons. The record is from RefSeq and is a predicted model, not a curated record.